AUUGAACGCUGGCGGCGUGCCUAACACAUGCAAGUCGAGCGGUAACAGGUGUAGCAAUACAUGCUGACGAGCGGCGAACGGGUGAGUAAUGCUUCGGAAUCUACCCAAUGGUGGGGAAUAACCAGCCGAAAGGUUGGCUAAUACCGCAUACGUCCCACGGGAGAAAGCGAGGGAUCGCAAGACCUUGCGCCAAUGGAUGAGCCGAAGUCGGAUUAGCUAGUUGGAGGGUAACGGCCUACCAAGGCGACGAUCCGUAGCUGGUCUGAGAGGACGACCAGCCACACUGGGACUGAGACACGGCCCAGACUCCUACGGGAGGCAGCAGUGGGGAAUAUUGGACAAGUGGGGAAACCCUGAUCCAAGCGACGCCGCGUGUGUGAAGAAGGCC
Molecule: ribosomal RNA, 388 nt
Filed under: uncultured bacterium
Lineage: Bacteria
Description: bacterial SSU rRNA
Rfam family: Bacterial small subunit ribosomal RNA
Source: RNAcentral